UUCCUCGUGGCCCAAUGGUCACGGCGUCUGGCUACGAACCAGAAGAUUCCAGGUUCAAGUCCUGGCGGGGAAGAUUUUUGAA
Molecule: transfer RNA, 82 nt
Filed under: Saccharomyces cerevisiae R008
Lineage: Eukaryota; Fungi; Ascomycota; Saccharomycetes; Saccharomycetales; Saccharomycetaceae
Description: tRNA-Arg
Rfam family: tRNA (bases 1-73)
About the family: Transfer RNA (tRNA) molecules are approximately 80 nucleotides in length. Their secondary structure includes four short double-helical elements and three loops (D, anti-codon, and T loops). Further hydrogen bonds mediate the characteristic L-shaped molecular structure. tRNAs have two regions of fundamental functional importance: the anti-codon, which is responsible for specific mRNA codon recognition, and the 3' end, to which the tRNAs corresponding amino acid is attached (by aminoacyl-tRNA synthetases). tRNAs cope with the degeneracy of the genetic code in two manners: having more than one tRNA (with a specific anti-codon) for a particular amino acid; and 'wobble' base-pairing, i.e. permitting non-standard base-pairing at the 3rd anti-codon position.
Source: RNAcentral